Cannabis sativa is the source of this 550-nucleotide long non-coding RNA. RefSeq lists it as uncharacterized. The transcript has 3 exons. The record is from RefSeq and is a predicted model, not a curated record. Lineage: Eukaryota; Viridiplantae; Streptophyta; Magnoliopsida; Rosales; Cannabaceae.
AAACGCAGAAUUAUAGAGCUUCAAGUAGGAGAUUAUGUGUUCCUACAGGUAUCUCCAAUGAAGGGAAUUAAACGUAUUGGGAAAAAGAGCAAGAUAUGCCCUAGAUUUACAGGACCUUUUGACAUUCUCAAGAAGAAAUACAUCUUGGAUGAUCCCACUCAUGUAUUGAGUUAUGAAAACUUAGAGCUCCAACCAGAUUUGUCAUAUGAAGAGCAGCCAGUACAAAUCCUUGUCACUUAGGGGCCUGUAAAUUAUCGAGCAGCAGUUUCCACUCAGGUUGACUGGCACACUUAAAUUCAAAAUCAAGGUAAGGGCAAGGUAAAGGCUGAACAGCAAUGAGCUCGAGCUAAUGAAGAUUGUACAUAUUGCGACAAUUAGACCUGGAGUGUUCGAUCUUCGGGACAACAUGCUGUAUUUUGGUGGUUGCUAAACGACAACUUUUGUAAUUAAUUAUCUUGUAAUACAAUUUUAAAUUUUAAAGAAGGGAUCCCAAAUUAUGUAAAACUUUUGUUGAUUUAAUUUUAAAGGUUAAUAAAGAAAGUUUUAAUUA